UACGUAGGGUGCAAGCGUUGUCCGGAAUUAUUGGGCGUAAAGAGCUCGUAGGCGGUUUGUCGCGUCUGCUGUGAAAACCCGGGGCUCAACUCCGGGCUUGCGGGCGAUACGGGCAGGCUAGAGUUCGGUAGGGGAGACUGGAAUUCCUGGUGUAGCGGUGAAAUGCGCAGAUAUCAGGAGGAACACCGGUGGCGAAGGCGGGUCUCUGGGCCGAUACUGACGCUGAGGAGCGAAAGCGUGGGGAGCGAACAGG
Molecule: ribosomal RNA, 253 nt
Filed under: uncultured bacterium
Lineage: Bacteria
Description: partial 16S ribosomal RNA
Rfam family: Bacterial small subunit ribosomal RNA
Source: RNAcentral